RNAcentral lists this unclassified non-coding RNA (328 nucleotides) under soil metagenome. RNAcentral's name for it is "partial contains 5.8S ribosomal RNA, internal transcribed spacer 2, and large subunit ribosomal RNA". The stretch from base 1 to 120 matches the Rfam family "5.8S ribosomal RNA", at positions 35 to 154 of the family's 154-position model. The record is from RNAcentral.
GAUGAAGAACGUAGCGAAAUGCGAUAAGUAAUGUGAAUUGCAGAAUUCAGUGAAUCAUCGAAUCUUUGAACGCACAUUGCGCCCCCUGGUAUUCCGGGGGGCAUGCCUGUCCGAGCGUCAUUACAACCCUCAAGCUCUGCUUGGUGUUGGGCCCCGCCGCCCCGGCGGGCCCUAAAGUCAGUGGCGGUGCCAUCCGGCUCCGAGCGUAGUAAUUCUUCUCGCUAUGGAGUCCUGGUGGAUGCUUGCCAUCAACCCCCAAUUUUUCUAUGGUUGACCUCGGAUCAGGUAGGGAUACCCGCUGAACUUAAGCAUAUCAAUAAGCGGAGGA